RNAcentral lists this ribosomal RNA (253 nucleotides) under uncultured prokaryote. Its description in RNAcentral is "partial 16S ribosomal RNA". It matches the Rfam family "Bacterial small subunit ribosomal RNA", at positions 525 to 777 of the family's 1533-position model. The record is from RNAcentral.
ACGAAGGGUGCAAGCGUUUAUCGGAAUUACUGGGCGUAAAGCGUGCGUAGGCGGUUUCUUAAGUCCGUUGUGAAAGCCCUGGGCUCAACCUGGGAACUGCGAUGGAUACUGAGGAGCUGGAGUACGGUAGAGGAAGGUGGAAUUCCCGGUGUAGCGGUGAAAUGCGUAGAUAUCGUUUGGAACGCCAAUGGUGAAAACAGGUUGCUGGGAGUGUGCUGACGCUGAGACACGAAAGCCAGGGGAGCAAACGGGA